Molecule: long non-coding RNA, 423 nt
Filed under: Cottoperca gobio
Lineage: Eukaryota; Metazoa; Chordata; Actinopteri; Perciformes; Bovichtidae
Description: lncRNA (ENSCGOG00000001679.1)
Source: RNAcentral
UUAUACGGACGUUAUAUUACUAAUUAAAUACUAGUGCUACUAAGUUAUCUACCACUAUCUGAGCCACUACUUCUGCAGAUACUACCAGAAUAGCCACGUAUCACACUGUGUUGAAUAUUUUCUCUUGUAUUCAAAAGCGAAAGUGGGGCAGUAAUGUAAGUUGGGGUUUCCAGUGAAAGGGAGGGGGGGGAAACGGCUGUGCGACACACCGACUCUGCUCAUUCGCUGUUGGACUACUGCACAUUACAGCGACCACACAACAUCAACUUCAAAACAUAUCGGAAAUACGGAGGAGGGGGGGUAUUGUCGGGAAUAUCUACGGCUAAAAGCAACUUCACAAGCCAAGGGAUAAAAAGCAGCCCUGUCUGAGCUGUGUUGGAGUGAAGGUCCAGUUUGUGUCCAUCCAGUGAGCUGAGUGGCUGC